Tachyglossus aculeatus (Australian echidna) is the source of this 137-nucleotide small nucleolar RNA. Lineage: Eukaryota; Metazoa; Chordata; Mammalia; Monotremata; Tachyglossidae. The record is from RefSeq and is a predicted model, not a curated record.
UGCCUCUCAGGGUCGCACCUGGAGAGUUCCAGUACUCUACCAGCCUUGGUUACGGGAGAGAGAGUCAAGCAGAGGCAUACCCAUUCCAUUCCUACCUUGGCCAGUGGCUAGCAAGUGGAAGGCAAUCUGCUACAAGU